AUCCAGCUGACGAGUUCCAAUUAAGACAAAACGUGCGUCCUGGAU
Non-coding RNA from Schistosoma mansoni, 45 nucleotides. Lineage: Eukaryota; Metazoa; Platyhelminthes; Trematoda; Strigeidida; Schistosomatidae. The record is from Rfam.